This is an RNA transcript of Sapajus apella (tufted capuchin), 6071 nucleotides long. It is a transcript of the gene named 60S ribosomal protein L15-like, with no coding region annotated. The transcript has a single exon. The record is from RefSeq and is a predicted model, not a curated record. Lineage: Eukaryota; Metazoa; Chordata; Mammalia; Primates; Cebidae.
UACCAAUAAUUGGAUUAGAGUUAGAGUCACAGAACAGACAUGUCCCUACAUAAGAUUUACUAUGGUCUUUGCAUUUCUUUCUGGUAGAUGUUCCUGUGAGAACCUGCAUUAGAAAUGAUAUGCCUUUUUCAGAUUUAUGAAGCAGUGCUUUUUUUUUCCCCCCCCCAGAAUGACUAUUAAGCACUAUUAAAAACUCUCUCAAAAUGGUUCUUUAGUAAGUGAUACAAAUGUUUUUGCUAAUAUUGAGUUCAUUUUUCUUAAGCAUUUUAUUUCCACUUUUUCAUUGUGGCAGAAAUGGUCAAACAGGUUUCCUUCAUGCAUAUGGAAUUAGAGAAUAAAACAAGACCAAAAGGGGAGUCUGAGAAAUCCAUUGUUUUAUUUAUAUUUUUUAAAGAACAUAACAUAAUUUAACUCUUUAAAUUUUGGCCUUGUUGGAGAGUUUCAUUCCCAAGUUGGUUUUAUCUUCUUUGGCAUUUAUUUAUUUAUUUGCAUCCAAGUAAUACACAUGUAGUUUUAAAACUUAUAUGGAGGUAUGAGGUUUUUUUUUUUUUAAGUAAAAAAAAGAAAAAAGAAGGAAAGAGAAAGAAAUAAAAAAGAAUAAAAAUAAAGAAUGAAAAAGAAUGAAGGAGAGUAAGAAAGAGGAAGAGGGAGAGAGAACGGGAGUGUUGCUUUAUUGCCCGAGAAAAAUAACAGACCCAUGUUCACCCUAUUUCUGUUUCCCAUUCCCUUAAGGCAGAUGCUUUCAGUUCUGUCCAUGUUUCUAAAUAACAUACUCAUAUUGUGAUUUUUUUGAUUUUUCAGUUUUAGAUAUUAACUAUUGUUGUCCUAAGAUGGAAGAUGGUCAUUGGUUCUUCCUGCAUACCACAUGUGUUCCCUCUGGGUUCCCAGCACCACUUGCCGGCACACAGACUUUUUCCUUUUUCAAUCUUAUUAGCAUUUUUGGUUAACUCAGUUUUUACAUUAUUAUUUUUGAUGUUAUUUUAGUUCAGCUGUGUACUAUAGGAUAAUUGCAUUUCCUUUCUUGAACAUGUUUUACUAUUUCUGUAGCACAUCAUUGCCCUGUGUUUUUUUUUUUUUUGUCUGUGUGUGUGUACCAAUCACUGAUUUGACCCCCAAUACUUCAGCAGAACUGAAAAUUUGCUCAAAAUACAUUUAAACUUACUGGGUUUUCUUUUUGGACUCCUGUCUUUCCUGGAGCAGCUGCUGGCCCUGAUGGAUCUGUUCAUCUGUAGGAGUAAGCACUAAGAAGUCAGUUGGAAGUUCUGUGUGUGGGCAGGGCUGACUUAUUGUGCCUUGCUGAACAUAGUCUCUUUCUCUGGGACUCUGUCCCUGUAGGCCAUUGUUUUGGGUGGAUUCUUUCUCAGGAUUCUUCCAGUCUCCUUGCUGGGGUCUAUAGGAAAAGGGGGCAGGGGCAGGGCUUUCACUCUUUAUAAGAGUACAGACACUUUGUUUUCUCCUCAUUUUCAGUAGGGCUUUUAUAUUAUCUUUACCCUUCUCUCAUAUUCCCUUAAAUCAUGUUUUUGCCUCUUACAUAAUAUGACCAUAAUUUCAAGUAAGAUUUAAGGAAUCUUGACCAUUGUGGAAAGAGUACAGAACAUACAAAUUUAUUUUUUGUGUGUAUAUUUAAGUUGAUGUUUUGAUAUAUUAAUACAUAUACAUAGAGAAUUGGCUACUGUAGUCAAGUAAAUUAGCAUAUAUGUCAUCUCACACAGUUACCCCCUUUAUUGUUUGUGGCAAGAGCAAUGAUACUCUCCUUUGGCAAAAAUUCCUUUGGCAAAAAUUCUGAAUACAAUAUCAUUAACUAUAGUCCUCAUAUUAUACAUUAGAUCUCUAGACUGCAUCCUAUAUAUCUGCAACUUUGACCCAUAUCUCCCCAUUUCCCAUCUCCACCCCCUGGUUCCCAUUGUAAUAUCCUCUAUCUCUGUGUAUUUGACUUUUUAAAAAGAUACUCCACAUAUAUGUGAGAUCGUGAAAUAUUUUUUUCCUUUGGUUUAUUUCACUUAGAAUAAUCUCCAGGUUUACCUACAUUGUGCCAAAUGUCAAGGUCUCCUUUUUUAAGGCUGAACAAUAUUCCUUUGUUUAUACAACCACACACUACUUAACAAUUGGGAAGCAUUGUGAGAAAUGCAUUGUUAGGCGGUUUUAUCAUUAUGCAAACAACAUAGAGUAUACUUACACAGCCAAGAUAGUGUAGCCUACUACACAACUAGGCUGUGUGGUAUAGUCUGUUGCUCCUGGCCAUGAACAAGUACAGCAUUGUUACUCUAUACCGUAAGCAGUUGUAACACAAUGGUAAGUAUUUGUUUAUCUGAGCAUAGAAAAGCUACUGGAAAAAUACAGUAUAAAAGAUAUUAAAAGGCACACCUGCAUAGGGCAUGUCCAUGAAUGGAACCGGAAGUGGUACUGAUUGUAGCAAUGAGUGAGUGGUGAGUAAAUGUGAGGGACCAGGACAUUGCUGUACACUACUGUAGCCUUUAUAAAUACUGGACAUGUCGGCUACACUACAUUUAUAGAAAAUGUUUUUCUUUAACAAUCAGUUACCUUUGGCUUACUGGAACUUUUUUACUUGAUAAAGUCACCACAAACACAUGAAUAUUGUGUUGUGCUGCAAUGACUACAACAUCUAGUGAUGGGAAUUUUCUUGUAAUCAUCUGGGACCAUCUUUGUAUCUGUAGUCUGGCAUUGACCGAAACAUUGUUAUGUGGCAAAUGACUGUACGUACAUUUUCUUUAUCCAUUUGUCUGUUGAUGGACUCUCUGGCUGUGUCUUGGAUAUUCUGAAUAGUGCUCCAGUGAACUUGGGAGUGCAGCUGUCUUUAUGAGGUGGUGAUUUCAUUUUCCUUACGCCCAGAAGGGGAAUUGUGAGAUGAUACUCUAGUUCUAUUUUUAAUUUCUUUAGUAAUCUAUAUAUUGUCUCUCACUGUGGUGGCUGAAAUCUGCAUUUCCAUUAACAGUGUGCAAGGGUUCCGUUUCCUGCACCCCCUCCCGUACUUGUUAUCUUUUGUCUUUUUCAUAAUAACCAUUACACUGGUGUGAUGAUUUUGGUUUGCAUUUCCCUGAUAAUUAGCGAUUUUGAGCACAUUUUCAUAUACUUGUUGACCAUAUUUAUGUAUCUUUUGGAAGAAUGUCUAUUCAGAUCCUUUGCUCAUUUUUUAAUGGGAUUAUUUGUUUUUCUGCUGUUGAGUUGUGUGAGUUCUUUAUAUCUUUUAGAUAUUAGCUCUUUAUCAGAUACAUGGUUUGCAAAUAUUUUAUAUCAAUUUAGAGGCUGCCUUUUCAUUUUGCUUAUUAUUUCCUUUGCUGUGCAAAGCUUUUAGUUUAAUAUAGUCCCAUGAAUUCAUUUUUGUUUUUGUAGCCUGACCUUUUGGUGCGAAUAUAGACAUUUCUUUGUUCUUGUUUUCAGUAAAAUACUAUGAGAAAUAAUAUUUUCAUUGAUUUACUCAACUUUUUAAAUAUAACUUUUAAUAAGGAAUUAAAAACGAGUACGAUUUUUAAAAAAAUUUUUAAAUUGAAGUAUAAUAUGCAUGUAAAGCACACAAAUUUUAAAGGAAAACUAGUGAAAUUUACAUUCUAUAUUUGUGUUACCACCCAGAUCAAGAUAUUGAAUAUUUCUAGUAUAAUAGAUGAUGCCCUUAUGCCCUUUCCUGAUCGAUACCCCAACCCAACCAGAGUUAAUUGUUAUCCUGACAUCUCUCAUAUCUAGAUUAGGUUUUGCCUUUUUAAAAAUUACUGUGCAUUUUCUUAUAUUGGCUUCUUUUGUUCAGAACAGUGUUGGUGAGAUUCAUUUCUGUUAUUGCAUCAUUAGUGUGUUCUUCUAUAUUGUUAUGUGCUAUUCUUUUGUAUGAAUAUGCCACAGUAUAUACAUAUCCAUUAUUUUGUUGUGGGCAUUCUUUUUUUUCAGUUUAAUUUUAUUUUUAAUAAAGCUGUGUACGUUUCAAAUUGUAUUUUCAUGGACAAAUACACUCAUUUCUCUUGAGUAUAGAAGUAAUAAUAGAAUUGCUGGAUCCCUUUCCAUCUGGCGACAGCCAUCAGGUAAGCCAAGAUGGGUGCAUGCGAGUACAUCCAGGAGCUAUGGAGGAAGGAGCAGUCUGAUGUUAUGUGCUUUCCUCUGAGGGUCGGCUGCUGGCAGUACUGCUAGCUCUCUGCUUUCCACAGGGCUCACUGCCCCACCUGGCCUGAUAAAGCGUGCCAACUGGGCUACAAGGCCAAGCAAGGUUACAUUAUAUAUAGGAUUCGUGUUUGCCAUGGUGGCCCAAAACGCCCAGCUCCUAAGGGUGCAUCUUACGGCAACCCUGUCCAUCAUGGUGUUAACCAGCUAAAGUUUGCUCAAAGUCUUCAGCCUGUUGCAGAGGAGCAAGUUGGAUGCCACUGUGGGACUCUAAGAGCCCUGAAUUCUUACUGGGUUGGUGAAGAUUCCACAUAUAAACUUUUUGAGGUUAUUCUCAUUGAUCCAUUCCAUAAAGCUAUCAGAAGAAAUCUUGACACCCAAUGGAUUACCAAACUAGUCCACAAGCACAAGAAGAUGAGUGGGCUGACAUAUGUAGGCCAAAAGAGCCGCAGCCUUGGAAAGGGCCAUAAGUUCCACCACACUUAUUGGUGGUCCUCACCAGGCAGCUUGUAGAAGGCGCAAUACUCUCCAGCCCCACCAUUACCGCUAAUAUAAGUAAAGUUUGUAAAAUUCAUAACUAAUAAACAAUUUAGGACAGUCGUGUCUGCUUACAGGUGUUGUUUUUCUGUUAAAACUAGUCUGCAGACUGUUUCAUGAAUGCUUUGUCCAAUUAAAGUGCAAUAAUGUUUGAAGACAGUAAGUGAUGGUGUAUCUUGUUUCUAAUAAGAUAAACUUUUUUGUCUUUGUUUUAUCUUAUUAGGAAGUUAUAUGUCAGUGUAGAAAACAUACUGUGUGAUAUAAUAGGCUUAAAAUAAGUUUUUUAAAAGAGAAAUACUGAAACUAGUCCUGUAGAUUUGUCUGGUGCAUGUGAUGAAACCUGCAGCUUUAUUGGGGUGAUGGCAAUGCCCUGCUGGUUUACUUUCAAGUGGCUGGGUGUUUUUUAGUUUGACAGGUACAGACUUUGUAAAUUGGGCUUUGCUUUAGAAAUUGUAGGGUGGGAGGAGGACAUGUUAACUAUGUCAUGAUUAUAUUUAGAAAAUUACGGGCACAAAUUUGGGUUAGCCUGAAUAAAAUUGCCUCAGUCUCCACAGUACCAUUUUCAGUUCACGUAAAAGGUAAAAGCCCCUGGUUCAGUGCCUUGGCUUCAUAGCAUUCAAUGAUUAGUGGUAGUGCCAUUAACACUGGUAUGUUUUGAAAUUGAAUGUUAGACAAAAGUAUUGGUCUUAAUGUUGGUAAGCUAGCAAUCAGUGCCAGCAGGGGAAGUUGGUGAGCCAGUGUCCAUUAGAUAAAUACAUUUCAAGUGUGAGCUUAGAAGUCAACCUUAAAAUACUUAACUGUAACACUAGUUCGUGAUCAUUAUGAAUCCCUUCAGUCACAUUAAUGGGGAAAGUAGUUGACUAUAAAUACCUCAUUCUUCUUCUAGUCAGUCUUAAAAACAUCUUGGGUUACCCACUCUUCCCACUCCCGUAGGAUGUAGAAAAAGUCGUACAUGUGCAUGGUUUCCAACUGUAUGUGUUUUCUGCAGUUAUUUCUCUUGUUUCUGGCCAAACUACCCUAAAAAUCCUUACCAUUCCCCAAGGUUGGGCCAUCACUUGUGCGCCCACUUUCACAGUAAGUAUACCACCCUGUUGCAUUUCUGUUUGCAUCAUGUCUUCCGGGAGACUAGGCUACUGUUUUCCAAGGUAAAUUUGAGUGAAAGGAAAUGUAGACAAGGUAUUGCUCAAUUCUGAAUUUUGACUUUGCUGAUAUAAUUUAAAUGCUCAUUUCUCUGAACCAGUUUUCUCGUGUCUUCUUUAGGGGUUUCAGAAAGCUCAGUUAAUUUAUUUCCAAGUACUCAUAGCAAGUUCAUAAAAGUUCUUGAGACCUAAAUUUCUUCUCAAAAAAAGAAAAGAUCUUAAGUCAUACAUUUUGAUUGUGUAGAGGUUGUUCAACUAAAGGAAUAAAUGUCUAUUAAACUUAAAAAAGAA